CAGCAGCCACGGUAAUACGUAGGGGGCUAGCGUUGCUCGGAAUCACUGGGCGUAAAGGGUGCGUAGGCGGGUCUUUAAGUCAGGGGUGAAAUCCUGGAGCUCAACUCCAGAACUGCCUUUGAUACUGAAGAUCUUGAGUUCGGGAGAGGUGAGUGGAACUGCGAGUGUAGAGGUGAAAUUCGUAGAUAUUCGCAAGAACACCAGUGGCGAAGGCGGCUCACUGGCCCGAUACUGACGCUGAGGCACGAAAGCGUGGGGAGCAAACAGGAUUAGAUACCCCGGUAGUCCCUGUCUCUUAUAC
This 301-nucleotide ribosomal RNA is filed under the name uncultured bacterium. RNAcentral's name for it is "partial 16S ribosomal RNA". It matches the Rfam family "Bacterial small subunit ribosomal RNA", at positions 509 to 807 of the family's 1533-position model. The record is from RNAcentral.